UUUGAUAAUUUUUGGGAAAGUGAAUAUUUUUCAUCUCAGAUUUGCAAGAUCCCUCAACGCCACCGUAUACACUCUACAUACCCGGUGAAGUACAAUGGAGGAGAAAACCACUUUCGAAAGCUACGGCAUUAAGGAAAGGGGAAGCUUCUCAGAUUUUAAAAUAUACAGUCCCAAGGAAGAUGGAACAAGAGAGGCGGCGAGGUGGAUUAACGCUUGCAGAUUCAAGUUCCCAAAACCGUAUUGCAGUAGAGAAUUUCAAUCAUGUAAGGUGCGGUUGUUCUGUUAUUGUUUCUUAAUCUGAAGUAAUUCUUUGUUGGAGUCAGUAUGUGGAAACGAUGUGACCCGAAAGUUUGAAGCUUUGUGUUUAGACUCCACUCCAUUGUACAUUCUAUUCCAUUUUCAAAGUAUUUGUUACCUGAAUACAAAUAGAAUAGUUUUGAAAAAUCUGAAUCUGAAGUAUUUUUUUGUUUCCUUCAUUUUAUGAUAUUUUCAAGUCAUAUAUGGUACGAGAGUAACAUGGAAUAAAUGUGAACAGUCUGCUUGUUCGUAUUGUUGUUGCUUUGUGUAUGAUCCAGUAAGCUGAAUAGAAUACCAACCAACAAAAUUAAAUAGAAUAGUUUGUUGGUUUCCAUUCUCAUUUUUGUUCACAUUAUUGUCGUUUGUCUAUACAUACCGUUACAUCUUUUAUGCUUUCCAUUCUACAUUUUUGUUAUACUAUACAUUUUAUUUCACAUUUACUUUGUUAUAUGGAUCCUAACAAUUGCUUUGUGUUGCUCAGGUUACAAAUGGAUGAUUUAGACUGUCCAGUAGAUUGUUCGAAACUGGAUUCGAACCAUUUCGUGAAUAUAUUCUCAUUUAUAUGUAAUGGUGCAAUGUAUAUAUAAAUGGAAUAGACCAUGUGUACGUAAAAUAGAAAGAUUAUACAUGUGAAAUGGAAUGUAUGAUAUUUGCUAUUUGUUUUAUUCUAUUCUAUUUGCAGAACAUACAAUAAAAAUAUGCUUUUACAGUGCAUUCGCA
Molecule: long non-coding RNA, 1017 nt
Filed under: Brassica napus (rape)
Lineage: Eukaryota; Viridiplantae; Streptophyta; Magnoliopsida; Brassicales; Brassicaceae
Description: long non-coding RNA (BNAP_LNC007932)
Source: RNAcentral